AUAUUAAAAAAUACCACCCUGAACGCACCCGAUCUCGUCUGAUCUCGGAAGCUAAGCAGGGUCGGGCCUGGUUAGUACUUGGAUGGGAAACAAUUGUAUAAAAAAACAUAUAUUAAAAUAUG
Molecule: ribosomal RNA, 122 nt
Filed under: Neogale vison (American mink)
Lineage: Eukaryota; Metazoa; Chordata; Mammalia; Carnivora; Mustelidae
Source: RNAcentral